AACGCUGGCGGCGUGCCUAAUACAUGCAAGUCGAGCGAAUUGAUGGGAGCUUGCUCCCUGAGAUUAGCGGCGGACGGGUGAGUAACACGUGGGCAACCUGCCUAUAAGACUGGGAUAACUUCGGGAAACCGGAGCUAAUACCGGAUACGUUCUUUUCUCGCAUGAGAGAAGAUGGAAAGACGGUUUCGGCUGUCACUUAUAGAUGGGCCCGCGGCGCAUUAGCUAGUUGGUGAGGUAAUGGCUCACCAAGGCGACGAUGCGUAGCCGACCUGAGAGGGUGAUCGGCCACACUGGGACUGAGACACGGCCCAGACUCCUACGGGAGGCAGCAGUAGGGAAUCUUCCGCAAUGGACGAAAGUCUGACGGAGCAACGCCGCGUGAACGAAGAAGGCCUUCGGGUCGUAAAGUUCUGUUGUUAGGGAAGAACAAGUACCAGAGUAACUGCUGGUACCUUGACGGUACCUAACCAGAAAGCCACGGUUAACUACGUGCCAGCAGCCGCGGUAAUACGUAGGUGGCAAGCGUUGUCCGGAAUUAUUGGCCGUAAAKCGCGCGCAGGUGGUCCCUUAAGUCUGAUGUGAAAGCCCACG
RNAcentral lists this ribosomal RNA (591 nucleotides) under Bacillus sp. YC03. RNAcentral describes it as "bacterial SSU rRNA". It matches the Rfam family "Bacterial small subunit ribosomal RNA", at positions 32 to 606 of the family's 1533-position model. Lineage: Bacteria; Bacillati; Bacillota; Bacilli; Caryophanales; Bacillaceae. The record is from RNAcentral.